GGAGCUCUUUCCAAGGUCUGUGGUCCUCUUUAAUAUAAACAUGCACAGCAAUGUCAUACCGUGCAACUUUCAAGAAAGCUGCAUAUAUGCCUGCUCAAGGAAACUCUUGCUCAGCCCCUGUGGGAGGUGACCAUGGUUGUCAACCUUUGCCUGCCACAUUUUCAAACCACUGCUCACUGCAACAAGCUGUGCGCAGAUGGUUACGAUGUUUCCAAUCUUCUGUCUGGCGAUCCAGCAGCUCGUCGGAGAGGUUUUAAACUGGAGUACUUCCUGCGUCCUCCACUACACGUUACCUUGCACUUCCAGACGAGGGUCGAGUUGUGUCGUGUGGAUAUUGAACUUUGGCCUUGUGGUAUGGACCAAGGCAGCAUCACUAGGAGGCUUGAAAUCUUUACUUGCUCUGAUCUUGUCUCCAAGAUCUCAGAAUGUGCCCAAGAGACCGGACAGUUCAAGCUUGUGGGACGUUGUGAUUUGAGAGAGGAAGUGCUUGUGUGUUUUAAACAUUCCAAUUUCAGACAUCGAGCUCCCUUUCUUGAGCCCCCACCUGAGCCUUCAGCCCAGGUAAAGCAGCAUGAGCUCUGGAGCCGGGGCCUGCAGUCUCUUAGAUCAGUAGCCCAGCUUCGUGUCUCUUUACCUUACGGUGGGGCUGCCUCUGCACUGGGAAUUAAGUCUUUAGCAGUGUGGGGCAUCCCUGCUCAUUGUUGUCCUCCUUUAGAGCUGGAGAAGUUUCAGGAAGCCCAUUUUCAGAGCUUGAAACCAAAGCCUCCUUCUUUUUCACUGGUCUCACCUGUUACUACAUCUCCCAGCCUUCCUAGGCCAAACCCUUCAUCCUCAAAAACCCCUAUUCCAGAAGAGUUCCUGGACCCUUUAACCCAGGAGCUCAUGGUUCUGCCAAUGAUCUUGCCCAGUGGCAUGGUUGUGGACAGUAGCACCUUAGAGGAGUACCAGAAACAGGAAGCCGCUUGGGGGCGUUUGCCAAAUGACCCCUUCACUGGUGUUCCUUUUACGCAAGACUCAAAACCGCUUCCUAACCCACUUCUUAAAAGCCGCAUUGAUAGUCUAAUGCUGCAGACUGGAUGCACACGAGUCGGGAGCAGAAACGGUCUACUGAACAAACCUCAACCUUCCAAACUCACAAGCCUAUCCUGUACUAAAAGACCUUCUGGCUCAGCAGACUUGGUUAGUGUUCAGAGCUCACUAGCUGGACCUAAUGAGACGGAUAUCCAGCAGGUUCAAUCAGCCGGUUUUGACAUCACAGAAGAACUACAGAAAGACACCAUCAGUAGCAAUAAAAGCCAUAGUAAAGUAACUGAAUCUAGGGUUCAAUCUGAAAGUUGUGUAGAAAGACAAACGUUUAUAGUGAAGUCUGUUACUGAAUCCUACAGUAUUGGAACAGAGAACUUGAGGCAUUGUACUAAAAGGAAAUAUCAGUCAGACCUUUCAGCUAAUACAGACUGGACAUCUACUUAUUCAUCUCCUUUGUCCAAAUGCCCAAAACAGAUGCAAGCCUCAUCCUCCCCACAGACUCUAGCCAGUCCUCUCAUGAGCAACGCCUGUCAGACAGUUUAGACCAAGCACUGAAUUCUGCUCUGCAUGGUUUACCAAGAUAUACCUCACAAAGCAAGCCAGAGCCAGAGACCACACCAGGACAGAGCCAGUGCGGGUCAUGCUUUUGUUCUUUGACUGUUUACUCCACAAGCCAACCUGCUUACGCUUUGCCCUGCAGUCACCUGCUGUGUCGAUCAUGCCUGCAGCGUGAGCACCCUCCCAGCUCACAGAGACUGUCCAUCACAUGCCCCACAUGUAAAGCAUCUGCCUCACCCAGCACAAUCACACGAGUACAUCAUUAAACAUAUCUCAGUGCUGCCUUUGAAUGGAAAUAAAAUUGUGGUGAGGAUGAA
This is an RNA transcript of Colossoma macropomum (tambaqui), 1901 nucleotides long. It is a transcript of the gene named U-box domain containing 5, with no coding region annotated. The transcript is spliced from 5 exons. The record is from RefSeq and is a predicted model, not a curated record. Lineage: Eukaryota; Metazoa; Chordata; Actinopteri; Characiformes; Serrasalmidae.